RNAcentral lists this ribosomal RNA (403 nucleotides) under uncultured bacterium. RNAcentral describes it as "bacterial SSU rRNA". It matches the Rfam family "Bacterial small subunit ribosomal RNA", at positions 355 to 774 of the family's 1533-position model. The record is from RNAcentral.
UGGGGGAUAUUGCACAAUGGGGGAAACCCUGAUGCAGCGACGCCGCGUGGAGGAAGAAGGUUUUCGGAUUGUAAACUCCUGUCGUUAGGGACGAAUUUUGACGGUACCUAACAAGAAAGCACCGGCUAACUACGUGCCAGCAGCCGCGGUAAAACGUAGGGUGCAAGCGUUGUCCGGAAUUACUGGGUGUAAAGGGAGCGCAGGCGGACCGGCAAGUUGGAAGUGAAAUCUAUGGGCUCAACCCAUAAAUUGCUUUCAAAACUGCUGGCCUUGAGUAGUGCAGAGGUAGGUGGAAUUCCCGGUGUAGCGGUGGAAUGCGUAGAUAUCGGGAGGAACACCAGUGGCGAAGGCGACCUACUAGGCACCAACUGACGCUGAGGCUCGAAAGCAUGGGUAGCAAACA